This 76-nucleotide transfer RNA is filed under the name Alicyclobacillus acidocaldarius subsp. acidocaldarius DSM 446. RNAcentral's name for it is "tRNA-Glu (CTC) (tRNA-Glu-CTC-1-1)". It matches the Rfam family "tRNA". Rfam says of the family: Transfer RNA (tRNA) molecules are approximately 80 nucleotides in length. Lineage: Bacteria; Bacillati; Bacillota; Bacilli; Caryophanales; Alicyclobacillaceae. The record is from RNAcentral.
GGCCCUAUCGUCUAAUGGUUUAGGACGCCGCCCUCUCACGGCGGAAAUCGGGGUUCGAAUCCCCGUAGGGUCACCA